RNAcentral lists this ribosomal RNA (432 nucleotides) under uncultured bacterium. Its description in RNAcentral is "partial 16S ribosomal RNA". It matches the Rfam family "Bacterial small subunit ribosomal RNA", at positions 29 to 506 of the family's 1533-position model. The record is from RNAcentral.
AGCGAACGCUGGCGGCAGGCCUAACACAUGCAAGUCGAACGAACUCUUCGGAGUUAGUGGCGGACGGGUGAGUAACACGUGGGAACGUGCCUUUUGGUUCGGAAUAACUCAGGGAAACUUGUGCUAAUACCGAAUGUGCCCUUCGGGGGAAAGAUUUAUCGCCAUUAGAGCGGCCCGCGUCUGAUUAGCUAGUUGGUGAGGUAACGGCUCACCAAGGCGACGAUCAGUAGCUGGUCUGAGAGGAUGACCAGCCACACUGGGACUGAGACACGGCCCAGACUCCUACGGGAGGCAGCAGUGGGGAAUCUUGCGCAAUGGGCGAAAGCCUGACGCAGCCAUGCCGCGUGAAUGAUGAAGGUCUUAGGAUUGUAAAAUUCUUUCACCGGGGACGAUAAUGACGGUACCCGGAGAAGAGGCCCCGGCUAACUUCGU